CCGGAUGUAGCUUAGUUUGGUAAAGCACUCGCUUUGGGAGCGAGGGAGCGGGAGUUCAAAUCUCUCCAUCCGGAC
RNAcentral lists this transfer RNA (75 nucleotides) under Streptomyces phage TunaTartare. Its description in RNAcentral is "tRNA-Pro". It matches the Rfam family "tRNA". Rfam says of the family: Transfer RNA (tRNA) molecules are approximately 80 nucleotides in length. Their secondary structure includes four short double-helical elements and three loops (D, anti-codon, and T loops). The record is from RNAcentral. Lineage: Duplodnaviria; Heunggongvirae; Uroviricota; Caudoviricetes; Stanwilliamsviridae.